This 203-nucleotide long non-coding RNA is filed under the name Vitis vinifera (wine grape). RNAcentral's name for it is "long non-coding RNA (VVIN_LNC001404)". The record is from RNAcentral. Lineage: Eukaryota; Viridiplantae; Streptophyta; Magnoliopsida; Vitales; Vitaceae.
ACGGUUUGAAGCGUUGGAUUCUUGACUUCCUGAAAUUUGAAAUGGUAUAUAGCAUGUAGAAAAUGGACUUCGGGAAGUGCUCCAAAAGUGUGAAGGAAGACUGCAGCUGCUGUCCUCUGUUUUCUUCACUUUGCUUGUUUUUCCUCUUUGCUUCUCUCCUUUACUUGGCUUGUCUUAAUGAUCCAAAAAGCUGUCAAAACACU